CCAGAGAAAAUUACUGAGACGCUCGAUCGCUCGGUCGACUCGCCUCCGGCCGCCGAAGUCUGAUCGACGAUUCGAACACACCAUCGGACUCACAACGACGCGCUGAUAAUGAUUCCCGCUUCCGAUUUUCCGAUCCGACACCCGAUCAUCUGGAGAGAUUUGCGGACGAUCUCAGCCGUCGAUUUGCAAACGAAGUCCGAUCGCCACGAAACCGGUGCCAUUUUGAAGCUUGAGUUGAGGAGAGUCGGGAUA
This 252-nucleotide long non-coding RNA is filed under the name Ricinus communis (castor bean). RNAcentral's name for it is "long non-coding RNA (RCOM_LNC002281)". The record is from RNAcentral. Lineage: Eukaryota; Viridiplantae; Streptophyta; Magnoliopsida; Malpighiales; Euphorbiaceae.